GGAGGGAUCAUUAGCGAGUUCUAAACUCCCAACCCUCGUGAACCUACCUAUUGUUGCUUCGGCGGGGCACCCCAGCACCUGGGGUGCUGCCCCCUCCAGGGGGCGCCCGCCGGUGCACGCAACCAAAACUCUGUUUUACGGUGUAUUCUGAGUAAUUACAAAUAAGUUAAAACUUUCAGCAACGGAUCUCUUGGUUCUGGCAUCGAUGAAGAACGCAGCGAAAUGCGAUAAGUAAUGUGAAUUGCAGAAUUCAGUGAAUCAUCGAAUCUUUGAACGCACAUUGCGCCCGCUAGUAUUCUGGCGGGCAUGCCUGUUCGAGCGUCCUUUGGACCCUCGGGCCCGGGUGGAUUCGUCCCCCAGCGGCCCGGCGUUGGAGGCCCGCGGCUGCCGCGGCCCCCUAAAUACAGUGGCGGACCUCUCCAGGCCCUGGCGUAGUAAACAAUCUCGCCUUCGGUUCCGGAGCAGUGCCUUGCCCCCAGCACCAACUUAUAAGUCUGGACCUCGAAUCAGGUAGGAAUACCCGCUGAACUUAAGCAUAUCAAUAAGCGGAGGAAAAGAAACCAACAGGGAUUGCCCUAGUAACGGCGAGUGAAGCGGCAACAGCUCAAAUUUGAAAUCUGGCCUCGUGCCCGAGUUGUAAUUUGCAGAGGCCCGUUGGGCGCGGUAACUGCUGAGUCCCCUGGAAUGGGGCGCCACAGAGGGUGAGAGCCCCGUACGGCGGUAGUCCAAGCCCAUGUAUCGGUCCCUCGACGAGUCGAGUAGUUUGGGAAUGCUGCUCAAAAUGGGAGGUAAAUUUCUUCUAAAGCUAAAUACUGGCCAGAGACCGAUAGCGCACAAGUAGAGUGAUCGAAAGAUGAAAAGCACUUUGAAAAGAGGGUUAAAAAGUACGUGAAAUUGCUGAAAGGGAAGCGCCUAUGACCAGACUUGCGCCCGGUUGAUCAUCCAGCGUUCUCGCUGGUGCACUCUGCCGGGCACAGGCCAGCAUCGGCUUCGGCGGGGGCAUAAAAGCUUCGGGAAUGUGGCUCCUCCGGGAGUGUUAUAGCCCGUCGCUGAAUACCCUCGCCGGGGCCGAGGACCGCGCAUUGCAAGGAUGCUGGCGUAAUGGUCAUCAGCGACCCGUCUUGAAACACGGACCAAGGAGUCGACCAUUUGUGCGAGUGUUAGGGUGUAAAACCCUCACGCGCAAUGAAAGUGAACGCAGGUGGGAGCCUCGGCGCACCAUCGACCGAUCCGGACGUUUACAGAAGGAUUUGAGUAAGAGCAUAACUGGUCGGACCCGAAAGAUGGUGAUCUAUGCCUGUAUAGGGUGAAGCCAGAGGAAACUCUGGUGGAGGCUCGCAGCGGUUCUGACGUGCAAAUCGAUCGUCAAAUAUGGGCAUGGGGGCGAAAGACUAAUCGAACCAUCUAGUUGCUGGUUUCCGC
RNAcentral lists this unclassified non-coding RNA (1422 nucleotides) under uncultured fungus. Its description in RNAcentral is "sequence contains 18S rRNA gene, ITS1, 5.8S rRNA gene, ITS2, 28S rRNA gene". The stretch from base 497 to 1422 matches the Rfam family "Eukaryotic large subunit ribosomal RNA", at positions 1 to 961 of the family's 3401-position model. The record is from RNAcentral. Lineage: Eukaryota; Fungi.